This 26-nucleotide non-coding RNA is filed under the name Homo sapiens (human). The record is from RNAcentral. Lineage: Eukaryota; Metazoa; Chordata; Mammalia; Primates; Hominidae.
UGAUGUGAUCCUCAUGAAGUGUUUCA